GCCAGGCUGGAUCCACCCGAGACGCAGUAAGAUUGACCUCGCUGGUAGGAUGCAGUGUACCCGCGGCAAGACGGAAAGACCCCUUGGGGCUUUACUAGAGGUGGGCCCUGGACGUGGAGCCUUGAUGUGGAGGAUAGGUGGGAGGCAUUGACGCGCGGACGCCAGUCUGCGUGGAGCCAUCCCCGCAAGACCGCCCUUUAAUGUUUGAUGUUCUACCGUUGGCCCCUGACCGGGGUUGCGGACAGUGUCUGGUGGGUAGUUUGACUGGGGCGGACUCCUCCCAAAGCGUAACGGAGGAGCACGAAGGUUAGCUAAUCCUGGUCGGACAUCAGGAGGUUAGUGCAAUGGCAUAAGCUAGCUUGACUGCGAGCGU
This 373-nucleotide ribosomal RNA is filed under the name Klebsiella pneumoniae. Its description in RNAcentral is "partial 23S ribosomal RNA". It matches the Rfam family "Bacterial large subunit ribosomal RNA", at positions 2010 to 2382 of the family's 2925-position model. The record is from RNAcentral. Lineage: Bacteria; Pseudomonadati; Pseudomonadota; Gammaproteobacteria; Enterobacterales; Enterobacteriaceae.